RNAcentral lists this ribosomal RNA (274 nucleotides) under uncultured Glomus. RNAcentral's name for it is "partial 18S ribosomal RNA". It matches the Rfam family "Eukaryotic small subunit ribosomal RNA", at positions 548 to 826 of the family's 1831-position model. The record is from RNAcentral. Lineage: Eukaryota; Fungi; Glomeromycota; Glomeromycetes; Glomerales; Glomeraceae.
UUGGAGGGCAAGUCUGGUGCCAGCAGCCGCGGUAAUUCCAGCUCCAAUAGCGUAUAUUAAAGUUGUUGCAGUUAAAAAGCUCGUAGUUGAAUUUCGGGAUUAGUACGUCGGUCGUGCCUUAGGUACGUACUGGUGUUACUGGUUCCUACCUUCUGACGAACCAUCAUGUCAUUAAUCUGGUGUGGUGGGGAAUCAGGACUGUUACUUUGAAAAAAUUAGAGUGUUUAAAGCAGGCUCGCGCUUGAAUACAUUAGCACUGGAAUAAUGAAAUAGG